AGUAUAUAAGGAAUGCUAGGCGAGAAGCAUGGAAGAGGAUUUUUCUCAGAGCAAACUUAGCACUUAGAGCAAUUAGGCAUAUUUCCGUUUUUUGUUAUUCGAGCUGCGACUCAACUAGGUUAUUGCCGUCUUAGGGUUUUAGAACUAGGAAUCUCGCCGACAGCUCUCGUAGCCCAGGCUCUUAGCCCAAGCUCUUACCUUGUUGUAAUGCUCAAACGCGAAUUCGAAAUAAGAUCUACUUUUCUCUCUUUUCGAUUUCGUAUACUUUAUCGUCGUUAUUCUUGUGUUCUGAUUGCUUGGCGUGUGGUAUUAGCAGAUAUCCGGGACCUCUGGGUAAUUAGGGCUUUCCUAGUUUCCUUAUUUAAAC
Molecule: long non-coding RNA, 367 nt
Filed under: Brassica napus (rape)
Lineage: Eukaryota; Viridiplantae; Streptophyta; Magnoliopsida; Brassicales; Brassicaceae
Description: long non-coding RNA (BNAP_LNC022727)
Source: RNAcentral